AGGUGGUUGCGAGAAUCUUAGUGUCAUUCGAUUGUGACCUCGAGAUUCUCGGAGAGUGCAUCUCUGAUUAGGCUUGUGAUCACGAGUUAGUUAGCCAAGUUAUCUUGCUGAGCUAUUUGAGCGAUGCGGACCGUUGUAUUGGCUUGUGCAACUAUUUGGUCAUGGUGAUUGAAUUGUGUCUCAUAUCUCGUUUGGACCGGUUGACCAAACCGUUUGACGUUUUGAUCGAGCUAUAUGACUCAAUUUUCUAGUCGUAUGUUACACAUGCUCUUCAAGUGGAGGGUCUCCGAGGAGUAGUAACAGCGCCUGCUAAGCUUGAAUCAACCGCGCUAGUCUUUGCGUAUGGUGUUGGUCUCUUUUUCACUCGCCUUGCGCCAUCAAGGACCUACGAUUCACUUACUGAGGAUUUUAACUAUGCUUUGUUGCUUAUAACAAUUGUUGUACUCGUCGUGGCAAUUUUCGUCACAUGGAUUUUGUCAGAGAAGAAAGAGCUACGAGACAAGUGGAGGUGAAUUUGUUUCUCAAGUCUCUUUGCCAUAACUAUAUAUUCCUCACUUUUAGACAAAAACGUCAUCAUUAUUUUGCUAUGGAAUUAGAUUAGAAGAUUCACCCCGAACUUGUAAUUUUAACUGAUUUUGUAGCUUGUCCACUUGUAGAUGCAAUUUUUCCCAUCAUUAUUACACUAGGAAGUGUAGUCCUAAUUUUAAUACGUAAUUUAAUUUUACAACAUUUUUUUCUUAAUAAAUG
RNAcentral lists this unclassified non-coding RNA (747 nucleotides) under Hevea brasiliensis (rubber tree). The record is from RNAcentral. Lineage: Eukaryota; Viridiplantae; Streptophyta; Magnoliopsida; Malpighiales; Euphorbiaceae.